ACGCUCUUUCUCUGGUUGUAAUCCUAGUAGAUAUUUAACAAAAGUUUUGUGAUAAAAUGACUUAUAUCUCAUUGAUCGUUCUCUCAACUAGGGUCUAAUGUAUUUUACCAGUAAACGUUAAGGUUGAACUACUAUUGAAGUGACAUGUUUGACUCCUAAGAGAGUCAACUAUUUAAUAUGUAUGCUUAAUUUGAUUGAAAUGUUAGAUAGACCGAAUUUGCACUUUUGGUUAUGACUUCAUAGUAUAAGCCGGUUGAUGUAUCAAUUUGAAUAAAAGGCCAUUUAAGGAGUUGCAAAAAAGGACCUAGCCGGUGUCGCUUCAAUAUGGGUCAAAAAGUGAUUUUCUAAGUCCCAACUGGUCUAUAUGAUAUGAGCAUACGAUUUGCACUUUUUGAGAUUCGAUUUGUAUUAUGGAGUCAUGAAAACACUUGAAACUAAUACCGCCUUCUUUCUCUACUUAAAUUUGAAAUAAAUAGUUUAUUAAAAUGUAGACCAGGAUGGCAGGGAGUUCAAAACUAAUGGUUGUGUAAAUCUUAUCACUUGAUUUUGUGUAACAGAGCAGAGAAAGUAGACUUAACAAUUCCACACAUACAUUACCUACUAUGCUUUCGUUGACAAGUUUAAAAGUAAAAACAAUCCAAAUAUUGUGAAGUAUCUUUCAAGGCAUUGAAAUACAAGCAAUAAUAGAUUCGGGGAAAAGUUACCAAAUGAGAAUACACGCAACAUCCUCAAUAAUCCCAGGUUAGUAAACCAAAGAAAGUCAAAGUUCAAGCAGUAGCUGAAAAGAAGCCAUCCGAGUUUUAUGACAACAAAAAUUUUCACGUCAUGUAGCUCCAAGUCCUUAAAAAUUACAGAGAAAGACAUCCGCAUGCAAUGCCACAGUUCUAGAAAUUAUACCCUUUUCUAAAGCAAAUUCGGUACGUUUCUAGAACAGGGCGAACAACUACCCAAUUACCAAACGCUGGAACAACCGAUGCCGCCCAUCGGGCGGCGUGAACCUCCUAGUUAGAAAUAAGCACAUAGGUGUUAGAUAUUCAUUUUAAAAUGAAGGAUUAAAAGCAUGUUUUAUUUAAUUAAAAACUAUUACCUUUGAUGCACAGUUGUACACAAUUUGUAUAAAACGAAUAACACAUCCAUUUAGCCAUAUGUGUACUCUUAUAGGGUGUU
This is a long non-coding RNA of Erigeron canadensis, 1167 nucleotides long. RefSeq lists it as uncharacterized. The record is from RefSeq and is a predicted model, not a curated record. NCBI's taxonomy places the organism in Eukaryota, Viridiplantae, Streptophyta, Magnoliopsida, Asterales, Asteraceae. The transcript has 3 exons.